CGCAUCUGUGCAUGCAGCAUAUCAAUAAGCGGAGGAAAAGAAACUAACAAGGAUUCCCUUAGUAACGGCGAGUGAAGCGGGAAGAGCUCAAAUUUGAAAUCUUCAAGGUUUUACCUUGACGAAUUGUAGUUUAAAGAAGUGUUUUCUGUUGAAGUUUUGGUAAAAGUUCUUUGGAAUAGGACAUCAUAGAGGGUGAGAAUCCCGUAUUUGACCAUUAUUUUCAGCUGUGUGAUACACUUUCAAAGAGUCGGAUUGUUUGGGAAUGCAGUCCAAAAUGGGUGGUAAAUUUCAUCUAAAGCUAAAUAUUGGCGAGAGACCGAUAGCGAACAAGUACCGUGAGGGAAAGAUGAAAAGAACUUUGAAAAGAGAGUUAAACAGUACGUGAAAUUGUCAAAAGGGAAGCGUUUGACACCAGUGUUGUUUUCUCGAAAAUCAAUUAAAAAGAGUUAGAUUUUGUUGUGUAUUGACCUUAACAGCUUGCAUUUCAAUUUUCUUGCUUUUUUUAAUGCACUUUUCGUUUAACAAGCCAACAUCAGUUUCUUUUGUUGUAAAAAGGUCAUUGGAGGGUGGCUUUCUUUUCGGAGAAAGUGUUUAUAGCCUUUGACUCCUGCAAUCGGAGAGACUGAGGUCUGUAGCGUAGAUCCUUCGGGGUUAGAUACAUUUGUGCUAAGUUAUAGCUUUUUAUAGACAACUUGUUGACUAUGAUUAGUCUUGUAGCUUACUCGCUUAUGCUAUUUUACCUACGCUUAGGAUGUUGACACACGCGCGUGCUCGGCUCUAUACAUGACUCUGUGCAUAUCAAUAAGCGGAGGAAAAGGGGGCUAUUACCUACGCUUAGGAUGUUGACACACGCGCGUCUACGACCCUAUACAUGACUCUGCGCAUAUCAAUAAGCGGAGGAAAAGCUGUUACCUACGCUUAGGAUGUUGAAGAUAUGCGCGACACG
RNAcentral lists this ribosomal RNA (946 nucleotides) under uncultured Neocallimastigales. RNAcentral describes it as "partial large subunit ribosomal RNA". It matches the Rfam family "Eukaryotic large subunit ribosomal RNA", at positions 26 to 636 of the family's 3401-position model. The record is from RNAcentral. Lineage: Eukaryota; Fungi; Neocallimastigomycota; Neocallimastigomycetes; Neocallimastigales.